This 496-nucleotide ribosomal RNA is filed under the name uncultured bacterium. RNAcentral describes it as "partial 16S ribosomal RNA". It matches the Rfam family "Bacterial small subunit ribosomal RNA", at positions 29 to 507 of the family's 1533-position model. The record is from RNAcentral.
AUGAACGCUGGCGGCGUGCCUAAUACAUGCAAGUCGAGCGAACAGACGAGGAGCUUGCUCCUCUGACGUUAGCGGCGGACGGGUGAGUAACACGUGGAUAACCUACCUAUAAGACUGGGAUAACUUCGGGAAACCGGAGCUAAUACCGGAUAAUAUAUUGAACCGCAUGGUUCAAUAGUGAAAGCCGGUUUUGCUGUCACUUAUAGAUGGAUCCGCGCCGCAUUAGCUAGUUGGUAAGGUAACGGCUUACCAAGGCAACGAUGCGUAGCCGACCUGAGAGGGUGAUCGGCCACACUGGAACUGAGACACGGUCCAGACUCCUACGGGAGGCAGCAGUAGGGAAUCUUCCGCAAUGGGCGAAAGCCUGACGGAGCAACGCCGCGUGAGUGAUGAAGGUCUUCGGAUCGUAAAACUCUGUUAUUAGGGAAGAACAAAUGUGUAAGUAACUAUGCACGUCUUGACGGUACUUAAUCAGAAAGCCACGGCUAACUACGUG